RNAcentral lists this ribosomal RNA (409 nucleotides) under Bacillota bacterium. Its description in RNAcentral is "Firmicutes bacterium partial 16S ribosomal RNA". It matches the Rfam family "Bacterial small subunit ribosomal RNA", at positions 355 to 776 of the family's 1533-position model. Lineage: Bacteria; Bacillati; Bacillota. The record is from RNAcentral.
UGGGGAAUAUUGCACAAUGGGCGAAAGCCUGAUGCAGCGACGCCGCGUGAGGGAUGACGGCCUUCGGGUUGUAAACCUCUUUCAGCAGGGACGAAGCGCAAGUGACGGUACCUGCAGAAGAAGCACCGGCUAACUACGUGCCAGCAGCCGCGGUAAUACGUAGGGUGCAAGCGUUGUCCGGAAUUACUGGGCGUAAAGAGUUCGUAGGCGGUUUGUCGCGUCGUUUGUGAAAACCAGCAGCUCAACUGCUGGCUUGCAGGCGAUACGGGCAGACUGGAGUACUGCAGGGGAGACUGGAAUUCCUGGUGUAGCGGUGAAAUGCGCAGAUAUCAGGAGGAACACCGGUGGCGAAGGCGGGUCUCUGGGCAGUAACUGACGCUGAGGAACGAAAGCGUGGGUAGCAAACAGG